GAUUAAGUUAUUAAGGGCGCACGGUGGAUGCCUUGGCACUAGAAGCCGAUGAAGGACGUUACUAACGACGAUAUGCUUUGGGGAGCUGUAAGUAAGCUUUGAUCCAGAGAUUUCCGAAUGGGGAAACCCAGCAUGAGUUAUGUCAUGUUAUCGAUAUGUGAAUACAUAGCAUAUCAGAAGGCACACCCGGAGAACUGAAACAUCUUAGUACCCGGAGGAAGAGAAAGAAAAUUCGAUUCCCUUAGUAGCGGCGAGCGAAACGGGAAGAGCCCAAACCAACAAGCUUGCUUGUUGGGGUUGUAGGACACUCUAUACGGAGUUACAAAGGACGACAUUAGACGAAUCAUCUGGAAAGAUGAAUCAAAGAAGGUAAUAAUCCUGUAGUCGAAAAUGUUGUCUCUCUUGAGUGGAUCCUGAGUACGACGGAGCACGUGAAAUUCCGUCGGAAUCUGGGAGGACCAUCUCCUAAGGCUAAAUACUCUCUAGUGACCGAUAGUGAACCAGUACCGUGAGGGAAAGGUGAAAAGCACCCCGGAAGGGGAGUGAAAUAGAACCUGAAACCGUGUGCUUACAAGUAGUCAGAGCCCGUUAAUGGGUGAUGGCGUGCCUUUUGUAGAAUGAACCGGCGAGUUACGAUUUGAUGCAAGGUUAAGCAGUAAAUGUGGAGCCGUAGCGAAAGCGAGUCUGAAUAGGGCGUUUAGUAUUUGGUCGUAGACCCGAAACCAGGUGAUCUACCCUUGGUCAGGUUGAAGUUCAGGUAACACUGAAUGGAGGACCGAACCGACUUACGUUGAAAAGUGAGCGGAUGAACUGAGGGUAGCGGAGAAAUUCCAAUCGAACCUGGAGAUAGCUGGUUCUCUCCGAAAUAGCUUUAGGGCUAGCCUCAAGUGAUGAUUAUUGGAGGUAGAGCACUGUUUGGACGAGGGGCCCCUCUCGGGUUACCGAAUUCAGACAAACUCCGAAUGCCAAUUAAUUUAACUUGGGAGUCAGAACAUGGGUGAUAAGGUCCGUGUUCGAAAGGGAAACAGCCCAGACCACCAGCUAAGGUCCCAAAAUAUAUGUUAAGUGGAAAAGGAUGUGGCGUUGCCCAGACAACUAGGAUGUUGGCUUAGAAGCAGCCAUCAUUUAAAGAGUGCGUAAUAGCUCACUAGUCGAGUGACACUGCGCCGAAAAUGUACCGGGGCUAAACAUAUUACCGAAGCUGUGGAUUGUCCUUUGGACAAUGGUAGGAGAGCGUUCUAAGGGCGUUGAAGCAUGAUCGUAAGGACAUGUGGAGCGCUUAGAAGUGAGAAUGCCGGUGUGAGUAGCGAAAGACGGGUGAGAAUCCCGUCCACCGAUUGACUAAGGUUUCCAGAGGAAGGCUCGUCCGCUCUGGGUUAGUCGGGUCCUAAGCUGAGGCCGACAGGCGUAGGCGAUGGAUAACAGGUUGAUAUUCCUGUACCACCUAUAAUCGUUUUAAUCGAUGGGGGGACGCAGUAGGAUAGGCGAAGCGUGCGAUUGGAUUGCACGUCUAAGCAGUAAGGCUGAGUAUUAGGCAAAUCCGGUACUCGUUAAGGCUGAGCUGUGAUGGGGAGAAGACAUUGUGUCUUCGAGUCGUUGAUUUCACACUGCCGAGAAAAGCCUCUAGAUAGAAAAUAGGUGCCCGUACCGCAAACCGACACAGGUAGUCAAGAUGAGAAUUCUAAGGUGAGCGAGCGAACUCUCGUUAAGGAACUCGGCAAAAUGACCCCGUAACUUCGGGAGAAGGGGUGCUCUUUAGGGUUAACGCCCAGAAGAGCCGCAGUGAAUAGGCCCAAGCGACUGUUUAUCAAAAACACAGGUCUCUGCUAAACCGUAAGGUGAUGUAUAGGGGCUGACGCCUGCCCAGUGCUGGAAGGUUAAGAGGAGUGGUUAGCUUCUGCGAAGCUACGAAUCGAAGCCCCAGUAAACGGCGGCCGUAACUAUAACGGUCCUAAGGUAGCGAAAUUCCUUGUCGGGUAAGUUCCGACCCGCACGAAAGGCGUAACGAUUUGGGCACUGUCUCAACGAGAGACUCGGUGAAAUCAUAGUACCUGUGAAGAUGCAGGUUACCCGCGACAGGACGGAAAGACCCCGUGGAGCUUUACUGUAGCCUGAUAUUGAAAUUCGGCACAGCUUGUACAGGAUAGGUAGGAGCCUUUGAAACGUGAGCGCUAGCUUACGUGGAGGCGCUGGUGGGAUACUACCCUAGCUGUGUUGGCUUUCUAACCCGCACCACUUAUCGUGGUGGGAGACAGUGUCAGGCGGGCAGUUUGACUGGGGCGGUCGCCUCCUAAAAGGUAACGGAGGCGCUCAAAGGUUCCCUCAGAAUGGUUGGAAAUCAUUCAUAGAGUGUAAAGGCAUAAGGGAGCUUGACUGCGAGACCUACAAGUCGAGCAGGGUCGAAAGACGGACUUAGUGAUCCGGUGGUUCCGCAUGGAAGGGCCAUCGCUCAACGGAUAAAAGCUACCCCGGGGAUAACAGGCUUAUCUCCCCCAAGAGUUCACAUCGACGGGGAGGUUUGGCACCUCGAUGUCGGCUCAUCGCAUCCUGGGGCUGUAGUCGGUCCCAAGGGUUGGGCUGUUCGCCCAUUAAAGCGGUACGCGAGCUGGGUUCAGAACGUCGUGAGACAGUUCGGUCCCUAUCCGUCGUGGGCGUAGGAAAUUUGAGAGGAGCUGUCCUUAGUACGAGAGGACCGGGAUGGACAUACCUCUGGUGUACCAGUUGUCGUGCCAACGGCAUAGCUGGGUAGCUAUGUGUGGACGGGAUAAGUGCUGAAAGCAUCUAAGCAUGAAGCCCCCCUCAAGAUGAGAUUUCCCAACUUCGGUUAUAAGAUCCCUCAAAGAUGAUGAGGUUAAUAGGUUCGAGGUGGAAGCAUGGUGACAUGUGGAGCUGACGAAUACUAAUCGAUCGAAGACUUAAUCAA
This 2923-nucleotide ribosomal RNA is filed under the name Staphylococcus aureus. RNAcentral's name for it is "23S ribosomal RNA from Staphylococcus aureus (PDB 6WQQ, chain 1)". It matches the Rfam family "Bacterial large subunit ribosomal RNA". The record is from RNAcentral. Lineage: Bacteria; Bacillati; Bacillota; Bacilli; Caryophanales; Staphylococcaceae.